CGGUGCGCCCCCGGCGGCC
This 19-nucleotide small nuclear RNA is filed under the name Arabidopsis thaliana (thale cress). RNAcentral describes it as "snRNA_12429". Lineage: Eukaryota; Viridiplantae; Streptophyta; Magnoliopsida; Brassicales; Brassicaceae. The record is from RNAcentral.